GGGGAAGCCGGUGCAAUUCCGGCGCUGACCCGCAACCGUGAACCGCCCCCCGGGCGGUGAGCCGGACUGCCC
RNAcentral lists this non-coding RNA (72 nucleotides) under Streptomyces collinus. The record is from RNAcentral. Lineage: Bacteria; Bacillati; Actinomycetota; Actinomycetes; Kitasatosporales; Streptomycetaceae.